This 225-nucleotide ribosomal RNA is filed under the name uncultured bacterium. Its description in RNAcentral is "partial 16S ribosomal RNA". It matches the Rfam family "Bacterial small subunit ribosomal RNA", at positions 326 to 544 of the family's 1533-position model. The record is from RNAcentral.
ACGCUCGACACCUACGGCAGGCAGCAGUGAGGAAUAUUGGUCAAUGGGCGCUAGCCUGAACCAGCCAAGUAGCGUGAAGGAUGAAGGCUCUAUGGGUCGUAAACUUCUUUUAUAUAAGAAUAAAGUGCAGUAUGUAUACUGUUUUGUAUGUAUUAUAUGAAUAAGGAUCGGCUAACUCCGUGCCAGCAGCCGUGGUAAGUACUGAGGCGGGCGUGGCGAAGGACG